RNAcentral lists this small RNA (371 nucleotides) under uncultured Glomus. Its description in RNAcentral is "SSU rRNA". It matches the Rfam family "Eukaryotic small subunit ribosomal RNA", at positions 569 to 946 of the family's 1831-position model. Lineage: Eukaryota; Fungi; Glomeromycota; Glomeromycetes; Glomerales; Glomeraceae. The record is from RNAcentral.
AGCAGCCGCGGUAAUUCCAGCUCCAAUAGCGUAUAUUUAAGUUGUUGCAGUUAAAAAGCUCGUAGUUGAAUUUCGGGGUUAGUAGGUUGGUCGUGCCACUGGUAUGUACUGGUCUCACUGAUUCCUCCUUCCUGAUGAACCGUAAUGCCAUUAAUUUGGUAUUGCAGGGAGACUGGACUGUUACUUUGAAAAAUUAGAGUGUUUAAAGUAGGCUAACGCUUGAAUACAUUAGCAUGGAAUAACAGAAUAGAACGUUCGAUCUUAUUUUGUUGGUUUCUAAGAUUGAUGUAAUGAUUAAUAGGGAUAGUUGGGGUAUUAGUAUUCAAUUGUCAGAGGUGAAAUUCUUGGAUUUAUUGAAGACUAACUACUGU